RNAcentral lists this unclassified non-coding RNA (2630 nucleotides) under Leishmania donovani. Its description in RNAcentral is "gene:unknown". Lineage: Eukaryota; Euglenozoa; Kinetoplastea; Trypanosomatida; Trypanosomatidae. The record is from RNAcentral.
CGUGAGGGCGACACGUAAGCACCGCGCAGAACGUUGCCGUUGCACGCAGGAGCGAGGCAAAACCGUGCAGCACGCACACUUCCACAAGCACCCGUGCGCACCCUCGCUCAAUACUUCUUCUUGGUACUUGUCUUGCAAUCGUACAUGUUGUGGUCACAGCGGGCGUUCUUGGCGGUGGCCGGUGCAGGGGCCAUGCUGAGCGUGGGGCACUACCUUACCAAAGUGCGGUCUAUCACAGGUCAGGUUCCAGUGCACUUCAACCUUUUCGGCGUCCCGGACGGCACCGCCGCGUCGUGGGCGUUCGUCAUGUACCCCAUCAUAUCUCUGGGACUGACCGCGGCCAUGGUGUACACCGCACUGGCACCAAAUGCCAGGGCAGCAUUGCCACACAAUUCUGUGGAGCAAGUCUCGUCGCGCGCCUCGCUGUUGUGUGCACAGGUUGCCGUCUUAGCCUGCCAAUACUAUGCUGCCCGCAUCGCUGAAGGCAGCGCGGAAAGGCUGUCGUCGCCGCUAAUGUGCGUGCUCUACGGCACGCUUGCUGCCGCCUCAGUUGCCGUGCUGGCGACCAAGAAUACGACGCAUGCUCAGUGAUCACACACACCCCCUCCACCCGUUGGCGGCAUCUUGCGGGGUUUGGCUGAAAGGGAGAGGGGGAGGAGGGGGCUUUGUACGAACACUGACCACCACACCGGCUCACAUGGCAUUCUUCUCGUUCUCACGCCGUUGUCGGGUGGAGCUGAUGUGCUCUCCACAAACGCAGCCGCGUAGUUGCGCGGCAGCAUUUUUUUUUUUGCGCUGUCCACCCUUCGACACUCAACACGGGCGCACCUCCACACACGAUCCCGUUUUUUUCUCUAUUGUGCUGCUCCUGCUGUUGUGCUCUCUGCAGCAUGGGACGGCAUGCCCACUGCGCUCCUGCUUGCCUGCAUGCGCUUCUGCCAUCGGCUCAUUCGCGUACCCGGUUGGUUUUGCGUUUUGUUGGCAUUGCUGCAAGCUCUCCCUUUUACUUUUCACGCGCAGAAACACAGGUACGUGCACCUCUUCCCGGCAUCCUCCCCAGCUCCCGCUUUUCUUUGAUACCCGUUUCCCUCGAGCUCACUCCUGGACCAUCCAGGCCGUGAUGCCCUUGCGCACGCACCCCCCCCCUCCCGUUGCAUACCUCUCUCAAGCACCCCACGCUGAGGGGUCGAACAAAGGAGAGACGCGCCAGUUGUGCAUAUCGCGGAGGUUCUCCCGCAGCUACGCCGGCGCGGUGCUCUUUUCGACGCUGACGUGGCGCUGCGCAGCGAGAGCGGGGUGACGUGUGGACACUUUUGGUGAGCGGUGUGGAGGUUUCAAAGCUUUCAGAGAAUCCGCCGGCAGCUUCAGCGCGCAUCAAGACCCGCUAUGGAAAGAGUGCGACGUUCUACGGGGGAGCCAUGCGAUAGGGGCGCGACUGCAGCGAGAGGACGCUUCACUGCCGCUGAAACUGGUGGCGCGUCGGAGUCUAACGCAGCACCUCUUCGCGGACGUGGCGAGCUCAAGCGGACCCCGCGCGAACCCAGCGGAAGCCGUUUCCUCCAUCUGGAAGGGCGCGGCACCCUACCUUGAGGGGUGAGGGGAAGUGGCGAACAGUGUGCCCAAAGCAGACCUCAUGCAGGUUGCACGCCGUGCACGAGCAGGCACGUUCAAGCGGUACCUGGGCUAUGGCCUGCAGCUAACGCAGGAGGCCGUAGCCGCACAGGAAAGCGCCGCCCGAGAGAGUCGACGGUGCUAGGGGUGCCAAAAGCGGCGUAUGCAGGGGCCUUCACCGGUGGUGCUGCCCGACGCGGGCCAGUGACCUUUACACGUGAAGCACACCACUCCACUGCACCUAGCAGCGGGGAGGGGGAUUCCCACAGCCCGCAGCAUUACAAAGGCAUUUCUGGAUCAGGCCAUCAAGCACUUUUACGAAAAGCGAUUUGCGGGGUGGCGCGCCUCUUGUACAGUGACGUCGGCGUUAUUUCCGCCAGCAGGCGCCCUUCGAUGAAUGGCAGCCGUGCAUCCGCAAGGUUCGGCCGGCGAAGGCCGCCCACGCGAUUGCCACAACGCGGUCUAGGCGGUGACAAACCUUCCUCAAUAUUCUUUCGCCCUUCAUCGCUGACCGCUGGAUGGGCAGCUUCAAGCGCAGCUAUGGAGGAAGGGCCACUGCAUAGAGUCUAGACCGGUGCCCAGGCGUAUCCCGCUACCCUCCCCCCAUGCACUGCAACCUUACGGGCCCAAAAGCAAGCAACUAUGCAGCUAACGUCGGGCAGCGCACACGCCACCGCUUACGCUGUCUCUCCUGCACUCUUUGCUCACCUCGACGCUGGGCGGACCGCUGCCGUGUGCGACGCGCACACACACACAGAUGAACCCGAUCUGAAUUCAGAGCUGCUACGCCCCCAUCGGUGAGUGCAACUGUGUGUGUGUGGGGGGGGGGCGAGGUCUGACCCUGACCACACGUAUGCUUAACGCCUGAAUGCGACCCGCGAGCGUAGCGAAGGCGCGGCGAAAUGUUUCUUCUCCAAGAUGCGGAGGAAUGCUGUAAAGCGCAUGCAGCUAGCAGAAGAGCCAUUAGAGUGCGCUGCGUUCUUUCUCUCCCCUCUCCCUCGAACCAAUCUAUUGGCAAG